Molecule: ribosomal RNA, 253 nt
Filed under: uncultured bacterium
Lineage: Bacteria
Description: partial 16S ribosomal RNA
Rfam family: Bacterial small subunit ribosomal RNA
Source: RNAcentral
UACGUAGGGCGCAAGCGUUGUUCGGAAUUACUGGGCGUAAAGAGUGUGUAGGCGGUGCUCUAAGUCUGUCGUGAAAUCUCCCGGCUUAACUGGGAGGGUGCGGCGGAUACUAUUGUGCUAGAGGGUGGGAGAGGUAAGCGGAAUUCCUGGUGUAGCGGUGAAAUGCGCAGAUAUCAGGAGGAACACCGGUGGCGAAGGCGGUUCUCUGGGCAUGACCUGACGCUGAGGAGCGAAAGUGUGGGGAGCGAACAGG